UUUUAAAUUAAAAUUUAAAAUGAAUUUCUAUAAUUUUAUAAUCGAAGAAAGUCGUAUUUUAUACGAAAAUUUAUAUUUUUAAAUAAAAUAUAAAGAAACUGAAUAUGUUUGACAUUUUUAAUAUUUCUUAUACUUUGUAUAAGAAUAAGAUUAUUUUAGGAACUGAAUCAUCUUAGUACUAAAAUAAUUAUAAUGUAACAACGAUUUUCUUAGUAACGGCGAGUGAAAAGAAAUUUUGUAUAUUUAACUUUAUGUUAGAUAUAAUAUUAAAUUUUUAAUAUGUAAAGUAAAUUUUCAAUUUAUUUGAUUUUAUUUUGUUAGAACCAUCUUAAAAAAUUUUAAAUAAUAUAAAAUUUUAUAGAAAACUAGUAUCGUGAGAGAAAGGUGAAAUAGAUUUUUGAAUAAAAAAGUGAAAAGAACAUGAAAUUUUAAAUUUUAUUAAGUUUAUUUAAUUAAAAUUUGAAAUAUAAUUUAAUUAAAUGCUUGUUGAAGAAUGAGUCGGUGAGUUAUAAUUAUUAAUUAAUAAAUUUAUUAAAAUUUAUUGUAAUAAGAGUUAAAGCGAGUUUUAAUUAUAUAAAAACUAUUUAAUGUUUAGUAAUUAUAGAUCCGAACCCAAAUGAUCUAAUUAUGUUCAGAAAUUGUAUUAAUAAUAUAAUGUUCGAACCAGUUAAUAUUGCAAAAUUAUUGGAUGAAAUGUAAUUAGAGGUGAAAUGCUAAUCGAAUUUGGAGCUAGCUGAUUCUCUCUGAAAUGUAUUUAGGUACAGAUUUAUAUUAAAAACAAAAUGUAUAGCUCUAUAUUAUAAUAUAAUAAUUUUUAUAGUUAUUAUAUUUUAUUUAAUAAACUGUGAAUUUAUUGUUUUAUUAUUUAUUUUAUUUUUUAAAAUAUUUAAUAAUUUAUAAAAUAUUAAAUUGAGACUAUUAGGGUUAAGCUUUAUAGUCAAAAGGGAAACAGCCCAGAUUAUUUAAUAAGGUCUUAAAAAAUAUAUUUAGUUAAAGAUAGUUUAAUUAUUAACACAAAUUAAAAUAUAAGCUUCAAAGCAGCUAUUAUCUAAGGAGUGCGUUAAAGCUCAUUAGUAUAUAUUUUUAAACAUCUAAAAUAAUAUAGACUAAAUUAUAUAACCAAAUUUGUAAAAUAAAUAUUUUUUAUAUUUAUUUAGUAAGAGAGCGUUUUAUUUAUUAAAUAUAGUUUAUAUUUAAAUAUAAACAAAAAAUUAUAAAUGAAAGUGAUAAUGCCGAUUUAAGUAAUGUAAUAUUAGAUAAGAAUCUAAUACCCCGAUUGUUUAUAGAUUUCCUAUUAUAUGAGUUAAUCAAAUAGGGUUAGUCGAAGUCUAAAAAUAAAUGUUUAGUUUAUUUGAUGAAAAAUUAAUAAUAAUAUUUAUUAAUAAUCUAUAUUAAAUAUAUUAAAAUUUUUAUAUUAAGUUUUUAAUAUUAUUUUUUAUAAUAUUAAAUUAUAAAUACUUAUUUUAAUAAAUUAUUUAAUUAUAUUCGUAUUAAAUCUGAAACAAGUGAAUAGGUAGAAAAUAUACCGAGGGGAUGAAUAAAUUUUUUUUAAGGAACUAGGCAAAAUGAUUCCGUAACUUUGGGAUAAGGAAUACUAUAUAGUGUAAAAUACUAGGUUCAAACGACUGUUUAUCAAAAACACAGGCUUUUGCAAAAUUUAAUGAUGAUGUAUAAAAGCUGAUGCCUGUCCAGUGCUAGUAAGUUAACAAAAAAUAUUAGUAUUAUAUAUUUUUAUAAGCUCUAGUAUAAACGACGGCUGUAUUUUUUUAACGGUCCUAAGGUAGCGUAACCCCUUGCCGGGUAAGUUCCGGCCCGCAUGAAAGGCGUAACGAUUUGAACACUGUCUUAAAAAAAAAUUCAAUGAAAUAAUAAUGUCUGUGAAGAUACGGACUAUUUACACAAGGACAGAAAGACCCUAUGAAGCUUUACUAUAGUUUAUUAACGACAAGAGAUAUUAAAUUAUAAAGAAUAAAUGGUUUUUAAAUAUUAAAUUUAUUUAAUAUUUUUUGAUAUGUGAAAUACCAUUUGUUUAAUAUUAAUUUUCUAAUAAUUAAUAAUAUAAAUAUUUAAUUAUAUGUCAUUUUAAACUUGAUAGUUUGACUGGGGCGGUCUCCUCCUAAAUAGUAACGGAGGAUAACAAAGGUUAUUUGUUAUUGUUUUUGAUAACAAUAAAAAAUAUUUAAAGAUAUUUAAUAGCUUAAUUGUUAAAUUAACAUAUUAUGCAGUAACGAAAGUUUGUCUUAUAGACCCUAUAAAUUUUAUAUAUGGAUAUUUUAUAGAUCUAAGGAUAAAAGUUACUCUAGGGAUAACAGGCUGAUCUCUCCCAAGUGUUUAAUGACGGGGAGGUUUGGCACCUCGAUGUCGGCUUAUCGCAUCCUGAGGUUGAGAAGAUCUCAAGGGUUGGUUUGUUCACCCAUUAAAGCGGUACGUGAGCUGGGUUCAGAACGUCGCAAGACAGUUUGGUCCAUAUCCGGUGUAAAUUAAUAGAACAUUGCGAUAAUUUUUUUCGGUACGGAAGGACUAAAAAAAUUACAUAAAUUGUGUGACAGUUAUUUUAAAUAUUUUUAAAGUAUUUUGCUGUCAAGCUACAUGUAAAAAGAAUAUAAUUGCUGAAAGCAUAUAAGCAAGAAUAUUAAUUUAAAUAUGUUCUAAUACUUAAUUGAUUUAAGAUG
This is a non-coding RNA of Theileria orientalis strain Shintoku, 2672 nucleotides long. Lineage: Eukaryota; Apicomplexa; Aconoidasida; Piroplasmida; Theileriidae. The record is from Rfam.